AAGAAAACGAGGAGACAGAGAAAGACGAAGUGCGGUAACGCGUCGCGCUGCGAUUGGGCCACACGUUUCGCGACACGUGAUCAGAGCAUGACGGAACGCUUGGUGACUGGACACGUGGCUGGCGUGGCUGCGCAGAGAGAGACGGUGCCCAGUUGCGUGCAAUUUCGAACGCAACUGUGGCCUGCUCGCAGCAACGGAACCGCUCUUCCGAGCAAGGUCUGUGGCUUCCUGGUGCCCCUAAUCUACCCGGAGCAGACGACCAGGGCCACCAUCCGGGACCCGUCGGAUUGCGAGCGAGGUCCUUGGUUGCCUGGCAUUCCCUGGCCUAUACCAGGAACAAGGAUGCCAAGGCGACUUCCCGAGACGCGCUGCGUUCUACCGACGUCCGGCAACGCCAGGGACGAGAUUGUGCGGCUCCAUGGGACAGCCGAUGCAGAGGUUCAGACUGAUAAAAGCACACGAAGAAGUGAAGCACGCCCAACGAGCACCGAUGCAUUUGCAAGGACAACGUGAGAAACCACCUACGAUGACACCUCCUUCCUCGGAUGAGAUGCUGUACUAAGGUUGAAGCUUGAAUGUCUUGGCAACUUGAAUGGGAGAUGAUGUAAUUACUCAUCCAAGGGCAACAAUUCAGGUCGAAACAAGCCCGUCUUCAAGGGUGAAAUCGGGGCAAGCCCUGGCUUCACCUGUACUGAGCCCCGACCAGACUACAUUCCUCCCUGCUCCAGGCUACCCGCAUCCCACUUCAGGCACCCCAGCGUCCGCUACGUUGAAGCAGAAUGUCCGCUACGUUGAAGCAGAAUAUCUUGGUCUUGAGGCACAUUUUGCUUGAGCGAUUCGGUGGCCAUGAGAACACUUCCAGGGAAGAAACCGCAAUUAUGAAGACAUCUUACACGUGAGCGUGUUGCAGUAUGCUUCGAGGACUCCAGGCUUACUGCCAAAUGCAAUCGUUGCGCUUGCAGGCGCCGGUGGUAAGAAUGUUCUCCGCACAUGAUGCGAACGAGCCCACAGCCAGGUUCUAAACACCUUCCAUCGCAUUUUCAUUUUUGAAGCGAAUUAUUGUAGUCCAUGCUUUGCAGGUACACUAGGCAAGAGAAAUAUGUGGUGACAACUGCCUAUUCUUACAUGAAUCUACAGGUGGGCAAGUGUUUUUCUACUUGUAUAGAUUGAAAACAUUGUCGCUACUUUAUUUAAUGAAAUGGUUUAAAAAGUUCUUAAAAUUAGCAUCAGAACCACCGCGAAAAGAGAACAGGUUGUUCAGACUCGAAACAUCCUUGAAUUCACUUUCUUCCUUCCCUUUUAGGAUUUCUCCAUGCUUCCUCCCUCAUUACUACUUUCUCCAUAGCCUCAAUAGCCACUUGCAUUAUCAUUGGCUCACGUGCUACCAUUAUCCUCUCUGAUACUGCAGCACAUGAGAUCUUUGCGUACAUUACUUUCUCGAUCCCUUACUACCCCGUAACAGGUUCAGUCCAACGAUCGCCCAAAGAAUCAUUCGACUGAUUCACAAUUUAUUCCCUCACUUAUUCGCACACUUGCUUUCCCGUUUCAAGUCUCUGCAUUGGGAUCAUUGCUCUACUUCUCCCAUUCUGCAUGGAUGGAACUGCAACUUUUUCGCAGUUACACACGCCGGCUGAGCACCGACUCGCCGUUUCCAAAGUCCUUUAGCGCUUUACGUAGUAUAUCGCUUUCUCAAAUUUUCUGCCUCCAUUACACGUUCAUAUUCUUUGCUAAUGCCUGACCACCAUCUUCCAUCAUAUAUCAUUUCUUCGUGUACACUCACAUGUCCCUUUCUUUUUCACGCUUACAUGCUUCAUGGUAUCACCGGGCGCCUUUUUGUUCGCUUGCUAUUGGUCGGAUAAUCGCUCGCUCGUUGCACUACCUUCCUGCUUGCUCAAUUUCUGACUUGUUUCUUGUCUAAUUGUUGUCGCGAGGGUUUUCAUGCUCAUUUAGUUCAGUGCCCUUUUGCACGAAUGACAGAGCGUGCAUCAUUUGGGGUCUCUUCUGACUGACACGCUUGAUUGCUUCCCUGUUUGCUCGUUGCUGAUCUCACUAUCCAGAUUGGCCAAUUUCUUGCUUUUUUCACUAGCUUGCCUCAUAAACCAUAUUCUGGUAGACUUGCCAACACCCUCAGUUUACUGCCCACUUGCACGAAUAACAGCUCAUGGUGCUAAGAUGCUGGUCCUUCUGUUUGCUGACUUCCUGGCCAGAUUGCCUCCUGCUUGCUCACCACUGAUUCCGCCUUCCAGCUAGGCUGAUUGCUUGUAUUUUCCUUCGCUUGCAUUUUCCUUCCUUGGCAUGCCUCAAAAUAUUUCCCAGUCCUCUUUUCAGCCUAGCUCCUUGUCUUUCUACACAGCCACACCUGCAACAUCGUCACCAGACCGGCCUGCAUGCAUGCAGAAGUACCUGCCUGCUCGCACGAACUACAAUGCAACGUCCUAGGAAGGGGCUCUUCUGCUUACUGGCUUGAUUCCUGCCUGCUCGUCGCUGAUUUUGCCAUCCAGCCUGCCUAAUUGCUUUCUUUUUUCUUCACUGGCUUGACUUAUCAGCAAUAUUGCCCUGCCAUCUCCGUUUUGGCCUUGCUCCUUGUCUUAUGACUGACCCGUGGGCUUGCCUGUACGCUGGGGUCCCUGCCUGUUUGUACAAAUGACAUCGGUAUGUGCUAAGGAGCAAAUUCGCUUGCUGGCUUGCUUGCUUCCUGCUUGCUCGUAGCUUUAUUCGCCAUUGAGCGCAGCUGAUUGCUUGCUUUUCUUUUCACUAACUUGCUUCAUCAAAAAUAUUCCCCUUCCCUCUCCCUUUUGGCUCUCCUUUGUCUUGUGACUACCUCGUAGAUUUGCCUGCAUGCUGAGGUGCCUGCCUGCUUGCAAAAAUGACAUUGCUAUCUAGUAGCGUAGAGGAGCUUGCUGGCUUGAUUACUUCCUCAUUACUCGUCGUUGAUUGUGCCAUCCCACUCAGCUAAUUGCUUGCUUGUUGUUUACAUGGCUUACCACACUAACCAUGUUAGCUUGCCCUCUCAUUUUCGGCCUUGCGCCUUGUCUCGUGAAUCUUUCGCACACUUGGCUGCACGCUCAAGUCCCUGCCUGCUUGCGCGAAUGUCAUUGCAGCAUGCUAAAAUUAUAGCUCAUUUGCUUGCUGUCUGGAGUGGUUCCUGUUUGCCCUUCGCUGAUUUCGCAAUCCCCCUCGGCUGAUUGCUUCCUUUUUCUUUCACUGGCUUGCCUCAACAAUAUUUCCCUACUCUCGCAUUUUAGCCCUGGCUCCUUGUCUUGUGAUUGUCUCGUAAGCUUGCCUGCAUGCUGACGUCCUUGCCUGCUUGCACAAAUGGCAUUGCAACCUGCUAGGAUGGGGGUUGUUAUUAUUGCUGGAUUGAUUGCUUCUUGCUUGCUCGCAGCUCAUUUCGCUGUCCAGCUCGGCUGAUUGCUUGCUUGUUGCUUCACUGGCUUGCCUCAUUGACCACAUUUCUCUGCUCUCUCCUUUUUAGCCUUGCUCUUUCUCAUGCAGCAAUCACCUAGACUUGCAUGCAUGGGCUAGGUCUUUCCCUGUUUGCACACAUGACAGUGGUAUGUGCUAAGAUAAGGGCUCAUUUGCUUGCUCGCUUGAUUACUCAAUGUUUGCUCGUCGCUCAUUUUGCCAUCCAGUUUGGCUUUUUGUUUGCUUGUUCAAUCGCUGUCUUACCGCAUCAACCCUAAUGCUCUGCCCUGUCCGUUUUGGCCAUGGUCUCUGUCAUGACUGUUACGUAGGCUUGCCAGCAUGCUACGGUUGCUGCCUGCUUGCAUGAAUGACAUUCCAACGAGAAAAGAUGGGGGCUUUUCUGCUUGCUGGCUUGUUAGCUUCCUGCUUGCUCGUCGCUGAUUUCGCCUUGCAACUCGGCUAAUUGUUUGCUUGUUCCCUCCCUGGCUUGCCUCAUAAACCAUAUUCCCCUGCCCUCUCCUUUUGGCUUUAAUCCUUGUCUUGUGACUGUCCCGUAGGCUUGCAUGCCACGCUGAGGUCCUUGCCUGCUUGCAUGAAUGACGUUGCUAUUUGCUAGAAUAGAGGUGCUCGCUGGCAUCAUUGCAUCUUGCUUGCUCAUCGCUGAUUUUGCCAUCCCGCUCACCUGAUUGUCAGUUAGCUCCGUCACUUACUUGCCUCAUCAACCAUACUAGCCUGCCUUCGACCCGCCGUAGUUGCUCAGUCGCUAUGGUUUUGGGCAGCUGCGCACGAGGUCGUGGGAUCGAACCCCGGCCACGGCGGCCGCAUUUCGGUGGGGGCGAAUUGCGAAAACACCCGUGUACUUAGAUUUAGGUGCAUUUUAAACAGGUAGCCGAAAUUUCCGGAGUCCUCCACUACGGCGCGCAUCGUAAUCAGAAAAUGGUUUUCGCAUGUAAAACCACAUAUUUCGUUUUUCCCUGCCUUCGCCUUUUAUCCCGUGCUCCUUGUCUUGACUGUCACGUAGGCUUGACUGCACGCUGUCGUUUAUUCCUGCUUGCACGAAUGCCCUUCCAAUGUGCUAGGAUCGAGGCUUCCCUGAUUGCAGGCUUGAUUGCCUCCUGCUUACUCUUAACAGAUUUCGCCAUCCAAUCCGCUGAUUAUUCGCUUCUUGUUUUGGUGGAUUGCCUCAUAAAUCACAUUCGCCUGCCCUCUCCUUUUAGCCUUGCUCCAUGCCUUGUGACUGUCUGGUAGGCUUGCCUGCAACCUGAGGUUUCUGCCUGCUUGCACGUAUGACAUCGGCAUGUGUUAAGAUGAGGGCGCAUUUUCAUGCUAUGUUGAGUGCUUCCUGCUUGCUCGUCGCUGGUUUAGCCAUCCAGCUCGGCUGAUUGCUUGCUUGUUUUUUCGCUGUCUUGCAUGAUUAACUAUAUUAGCCUGCCCUCUCAUUUUUGGCCUUAUCACUGUCAUGUGACUGCCACGUAGGCUUGCGUGCACGCGGAAGUCUCUGCCUGCUUGCGCAAAUGGCAUUGCAAUGUGCUAGGGAUGGGGGGGCUCUUCUGCUUGCUAACUUGAUUGUUUCUUGCUUGCUCAUCGUUGGUUUUGCCAUCCAGAAUGACUGAGUGCUUGCUUUUUCCUUCACUUGCUUGACUCACCAACCAUAUUCUCCUGCCCUCUCUUUUUGACUUUGCUCUCUGUCUUGUAACUAUCUCGUAGAUGUACCUGCACGCUGAGGUCGCUGCCUGCUUGCACGAAUGACAUUGCUAUGUGCUAGCAUGGAGGUGCUUGCCGCCUUGAUUACUUUCUGCUUGCUCGUCGCUGAUUUCACGAUCCAGCUUGGCCGAUUGCUUGCUUGUUCAUUCACUGUCUUGCUGCAUCACCUAUUCCCCUGCCCUCUGCUUUCCGGCCUUUCUCUUUGUCAUGUGACUCGCGUGGGCUUGCCUGUAUGCUAAGGUUUCUACGUGCUUGCACGAAUAACAUCGGUAUGUGGCAAGCGCUCAUUUUCUUGCUAUCUUGACUGCAUCUUGCGUGCUCGUCGCUAAUUUCACCAUCCAAAUCGGCUGAUUGCGCGCUUGUUUCUUCACUGGCUCGCCUCAUCAAACGUAUUACCCUACCCUCUCAUGUUUGGCCUUGCUGCCAUUCUUGUGACUGUCCCGUAGACUUGCCUGCAUGCUGUGGUUUCUGCCUACUUGCACGAGUGCCCUUCCAACGCGCUAGGAUGGGGGCUUUUCUGCUUGCAGGCUUCAUAGCUUCCUGCUUGCUCGUCGCUGAUUUCGCCAUCGAACUCGACUGAUUGGUUGCUUUUUAUUUUGCUGAUUUGCUUAAUAAACCAUAUUCACCUGCCCGCUCCUUUUUAGCCUUCCUCCUCCUCUUAUGCCUGUGCUGUAGGCUUGCUGCACGCUGUUUCUGCCUACUUUCAUGACUGACAUCGCGAUGUGCUAAGACUGGGGCUCGUUUUCUUGCUAUUUUGAGUGCUUCCUCCUUGCUCGUCGCUGAUUUAGCCAUCCAGCUCGGGUGAUUGCUUGCUCGUUUUUUCGCUGUCUUACCUCAACAAUCAUAUUCCCCUGCCCUCUCCUUUUUGGCCUUGCUCCUUGUUACUGUCACGUAUACUUGCCUACACACUUAAGUUUCUGCCUGCUUGCACGAACGACAUUCCAGCAUGUUAGGAUGGGCGCUCUUCUGCUUGCUGGCUUCAUUGAUUCCUGCUUGUUCGUCGCUGAUUUAGCCAAGCAUUUUGGGUGACUGCUUGCUUUUUCCUUGAAUAUGGCUUGCCAUAUCAACCACGUUCCCCUGCCCUCUUGUUUUUGGCCUUGCUCCUUGUCUUUUGACUAUCUCGUAGAUUUGCCUGCACACUGAGGUCCCAGCCUGCUUGCACGAAUGACAUUGCUAUGUGCUUGGAUGGAGGUGCUUGCUGCCUUGAUUACUUUGUUUGCUCGUCACUGAUUUCGCUAUCUAACUCGGCUGAUUGCUUGCUUGUUCCUUCGCUGGCUCGCCUUUUUGCCUGCCCUGUCUUUUGGCCUUGCUCCUUGUGACUGUCCCGUAGGCUUGCUUGCACGCUGAGGUUUCUGCCUGCUUGCACGAGUGCCCUUCUAACGUGCUAGGGUGGGGGCUUUUCUGCUUGCGGGCUGUGCAGCUUCCUGCUCGCUCGUCGCUGAUUUCGCCAUUGAACUCGGCUGAUUGGUUGCAUGUUGUUUUGCUGGCUUAUGUCAUAAACCACAUUCGCCUGCCCUCUCCUAUUUAGCCUUCCGCCUUGUCUUAUGGCUGCCCCUAGGCUUGCCUGCACGCUGAAGGUUAUGCCUGCUUGCACGAAUGGCAUUGCUAUGUGCUGGGAUGGAAGUGCUUGCUUUCUUGAUUACUUCCUGCUUGCUCCUCCCUGAUUUUGCCAUCCAGCUUGGCUGAUUGCUUGCUUGUUCAUUCACUGUCUUGCCGCAUCAGCUAUACCCCUACCCUCUGCUUUUUGGCCUUUCUUCUUGUCAUGUGACUGUAACAUAGGCUUGCUUGUACGCUGUUUCUGCCUGCUUGCAUGAAAGCCCUUCCAACAUGCUAGGAUUGGGGAUUUUCUGCUUGCUCGUCACUGAUUUCACCAUCCAAUUUUUCUGAUUGUUUUUUUUUUGCUGAUUUGCGUCAUAAGCCACAUUCGCCUGCGCUCUCCUUCUUGGCAUGGCGCUUUGUCAAGUGACUGUUUUUAGGCUUGUCUGCAUGCUGAAUUUCUUGACUGCUUGCACGAAUGACAUUUCAGCGUGUGUCCUGCCGCUUGCACGAAUUACAUUGCAUGAAACUUAUCAAGGUGUGUUUUUCCUUGCUGGCUUGAUUGCUUUCUGGUUGCAUGUUGCUGAUUUCAGUAUACACCUCUGCCGAUUGCUUGGCGGUUCCAUUAGUGGCUUAUUGACUAUACUUCCAUGCUCGCUCGUUUUCAGUCUUGCUGCUUGCUUGUCUUAAUGUCUCAUCGGCUUUUCUGCAUGCGCUGUGCACGCUUGUGCAGUAGUGUACUCUGAUAGAGCGCGGAGAAGUUAAUAAGGAAUUGGCUUUUUUGUCCUAUGUCCAUUUUUUUUUCGUUCAUUGUGUUUUGCGCCUUUAACAAAUUUCUAGCUCGUAUUAACGCUUGUCCUCCAAGGAUACACUUUGUAAAUGCUAUAAUUUGUUUUUUUUUUUCAGCUGCUGUGUGUCGGAGGGAAAUUUCCUGUUCAUUGUUUGCUUGAACGCACACAUUACAAUUACAAAAUUAUCAGUGUUCUGCAAUUUCUCGCAUUCGUAGGGUCAGCGUAAGUCGGUACUACCGUUCCCAAGUCUAACACCACGAGAACAACCAAGAAAAAUGAAUCUUCCUUUCAGACAAAAGAGGGCGCCGAAUAAGCAGAUCCUCCCAGAGUGUUCACGGUGUAUGUCAUCAACAGUCCCGGCGGGGCGAAAUGCUCUUCUCGGCAAAGUCUUCCAGUGUCCAGGAUGGUGCAUAAUGUGACAUGUUAUCCACGAAUAUCUACAAUGUGCACCCGGAAAUUGUGCAGAAGAUCCUUGAAUCUAGCUUUUUUUUUUUUCCUUGUAAAACAACACAGAAUGAAAGCGUCAGUACUGCUGCAUGAGAUGGUAGUGGCCUGCUAUGCCGAGAAGUAUUAAGGCGUGUUAGCGCAAGCGCUAACAGUCUUGUUCUUGCUAUUUACACUAUUAAGCCAACGAGCGAAAGAGCGAAACCGCCUUCUGGCUUACCCUUGUCCGGAUAUGGACCGAUGUCCCAAACCAAAACUACCCCCGGAGAAGCAUGGCUCGGGUUUGGGGGCUACUUGUGGGAGGCGAAAUGAAUGAUGACGACGGAAGCAAUGGUUGUGGGUUCUACCUUGUAGAACCCAACUCUUCCUGAUCUGACAAGGCAGCCCACAUAACAAAGUGCUUAAUGACACCUGAUGCGUUAUGCAAAAAAUGCCUCUAAUACAAGAAACCACAAUUAAAGGAUUAAUGAACCUGGCACGUGCGCAAUAAAUGUUUUAAAAAAGUCA
Dermacentor albipictus is the source of this 8387-nucleotide RNA transcript. RefSeq lists it as uncharacterized. NCBI's taxonomy places the organism in Eukaryota, Metazoa, Arthropoda, Arachnida, Ixodida, Ixodidae. The record is from RefSeq and is a predicted model, not a curated record.